AUUGAACGCUGGCGGCAUGCCUAACACAUGCAAGUCGAACGGCAACAUGGUCUAGCUUGCUAGACUGAUGGCGAGUGGCGAACGGGUGAGUAAUGCGCAGGAAUAUGCCUUGAAGAGUGGGACAACUUAGGGAAACUUAAGCUAAUACCGCAUAAGCUCUGAGGAGGGAAGCUGGGGACCUUCGGGCCUGGCGCUUCAAGAAUAGCCUGCGUCCGAUUAGCUAGUUGGUAGGGUAAGAGCCUACCAAGGCGACGAUCGGUAGCUGGUCUGAGAGGAUGAUCAGCCACACUGGAACUGAGACACGGUCCAGACUCCUACGGGAGGCAGCAGUGGGGAAUAUUGGACAAUGGGGGGAACCCUGAUCCAGCAAUGCCGCGUGUGUGAAGAAGGCCUUAGGGUUGUAAAGCACUUUCAGUGGGGAGGAGGAUUGACAGGUUAAGAGCUAGUUGAUUGGACGUUACCCACAGAAGAAGCACCGGCUAACUCCGUGCCAGCCGCCGCAGUAA
RNAcentral lists this ribosomal RNA (506 nucleotides) under uncultured bacterium. RNAcentral describes it as "partial 16S ribosomal RNA". It matches the Rfam family "Bacterial small subunit ribosomal RNA", at positions 30 to 523 of the family's 1533-position model. The record is from RNAcentral.